Molecule: non-coding RNA, 28 nt
Filed under: Bombyx mori (domestic silkworm)
Lineage: Eukaryota; Metazoa; Arthropoda; Insecta; Lepidoptera; Bombycidae
Source: RNAcentral
UGCCUCAGGUACUGGCUUUGAUUGUGGU